Molecule: signal recognition particle RNA, 101 nt
Filed under: Lentimicrobiaceae bacterium
Lineage: Bacteria; Pseudomonadati; Bacteroidota; Bacteroidia; Bacteroidales; Lentimicrobiaceae
Also listed under: 2 other names
Description: signal recognition particle sRNA small type
Rfam family: Bacteroidales small SRP
About the family: The non-coding component of the signal recognition particle in Bacteroides
Source: RNAcentral
GGGUAAGUCUUAUACGACCAGCUCCCAUUUAACUCCCCCAGGUCAGGAAUGAAGCAAGGGUACAAUGGUUGUAGCGGUGCGAUGUAAGUAGCUUACCCUUU